GGGGGGGCAAGCGUUGUUCGGAUUUACUGGGCGUAAAGGGCUCGUAGGCGGCCAUCUAAGUCGGUUGUGAAAUCCCUCGGCUCAACCGGGGAACUGCGACCGAUACUGGAAGGCUUGAAGCCGGGAGAGGGAUGCGGAAUUCCAGGUGUAGCGGUGAAAUGCGUAGAUAUCUGGAGGAACACCCGUGGCGAAGGCGGCAUCCUGGACCGGUCUUGACGCUGAGGAGCGAAAGCUAGGGUAGCAAACGGGAUUAGAUACCCCGGGUAGUCCUAGCCCUAAACGAUGAAUGCUUGGUGUGGCGGGUAUCGAUCCCCUGCCCGUGCCGUAGCUAACGCGUUAAGCAUUCCGCCUGGGGAGUACGGUCGCAAGGCUGA
This 374-nucleotide ribosomal RNA is filed under the name uncultured organism. RNAcentral describes it as "partial 16S ribosomal RNA". It matches the Rfam family "Bacterial small subunit ribosomal RNA", at positions 528 to 897 of the family's 1533-position model. The record is from RNAcentral.